GGGGAUGUAGCUCAGUUGGUAGAGUGCUUGCCUUGCAUGCACAAGGCUCUGGGUUCAAUCCCCGGCACUCCCC
Molecule: transfer RNA, 73 nt
Filed under: Ictidomys tridecemlineatus (thirteen-lined ground squirrel)
Lineage: Eukaryota; Metazoa; Chordata; Mammalia; Rodentia; Sciuridae
Description: Spermophilus tridecemlineatus (thirteen-lined ground squirrel) tRNA
Rfam family: tRNA
About the family: Transfer RNA (tRNA) molecules are approximately 80 nucleotides in length.
Source: Rfam by way of RNAcentral